UCCAGACUCCUACGGGAGGCAGCAGUGGGGGAUAUUGCACAAUGGGGGAAACCCUGAUGCAGCGACGCCGCGUGAGUGAAGAAGUAUUUCGGUAUGUAAAGCUCUAUCAGCAGGGAAGAAAAUGACAGUACCUGACCAAGAAGCCCCGGCUAACUACGUGCCAGCAGCCGCGGUAAUACGGAGGAUGCGAGCGUUAUCCGGAUUUAUUGGGUUUAAAGGGUGCGUAGGCGGGACGGUAAGUCAGCGGUAAAAAUGGGGGUCUAAACUCGGUCGAGCCGUUGAAACUGCCGUUCUUGAGUGAGCGAGAAGUAUGCGGAAUGCGUGGUGUAGCGGUGAAAUGCAUAGAUAUCACGCAGAACUCCGAUUGCGAAGGCAGCAUACCGGCGCUCAACUGACGCUGAAGCACGAAGGCGUGGGUAUCGAACAGGAUUAGAUACCCGAGUA
This 444-nucleotide ribosomal RNA is filed under the name uncultured bacterium. RNAcentral's name for it is "bacterial SSU rRNA". It matches the Rfam family "Bacterial small subunit ribosomal RNA", at positions 330 to 792 of the family's 1533-position model. The record is from RNAcentral.